GGGCCCGCACAAGCGGAGGAACAUGUGGUUUAAUUCGAUGAUACGCGAGGAACCUUACCCGGGCUUGAAAUUGGGAGGAAUGCGGAGGAAACUCUGCAGUCAGCAAUGACCUUUCAGUAGGUGCUGCAUGGUUGUCGUCAGCUCGUGCCGUGAGGUGUCGGCUUAAGUGCCAUAACGAGCGCAACCCACAUUGUCAGUUACCAUCGGGUAAAGCCGGGGACUCUGACAAGACUGCCGGCGUAAGCUGUGAGGAAGGUGUGGAUGACGUCAAAUCAGCACGGCCCUUACGUCCGGGGCGACACACGUGUUACAAUGGGGGGUACAGCGGGCAGCAACCUGGCGACAGGGAGCCAAUCCCGAAAACCCUUCUCAGUUCGGAUCGGAGUCUGCUAACCCGACUCCGUGAAGCUGGAUUCGCUAGUAAUCGCGCAUCAGCCAUGGCG
Molecule: ribosomal RNA, 443 nt
Filed under: uncultured Bacteroidota bacterium
Lineage: Bacteria; Pseudomonadati; Bacteroidota
Description: bacterial SSU rRNA
Rfam family: Bacterial small subunit ribosomal RNA
Source: RNAcentral